Long non-coding RNA from Gopherus evgoodei (Goodes thornscrub tortoise), 124 nucleotides. RefSeq lists it as uncharacterized. The transcript is spliced from 3 exons. NCBI's taxonomy places the organism in Eukaryota, Metazoa, Chordata, Testudines, Testudinidae. The record is from RefSeq and is a predicted model, not a curated record.
AAAUUCUUGAAAGAAAGGCAUAAUUAACCAUUGGAACAAUUCGCCAACGAUCAUGGUGGAUUUUCUAUCACUGUCAAUUUUUAAACCAAGAUUGGAUUUUCCUAAAAGAUCUGCUCUAGGAAUU